UACGGAGGGUGCAAGCGUUAUCCGGAUUCACUGGGUUUAAAGGGUGCGUAGGAGGGCAGGUAAGUCAGUGGUGAAAUCUCCGAGCUUAACUCGGAAACUGCCGUUGAUACUAUCUGUCUUGAAUACCGUGGAGGUGAGCGGAAUAUGUCAUGUAGCGGUGAAAUGCUUAGAUAUGACAUAGAACACCAAUUGCGAAGGCAGCUCACUACACGAGCAUUGACUCUGAGGCACGAAAGCGCGGGGAUCAAACAGG
RNAcentral lists this ribosomal RNA (253 nucleotides) under uncultured bacterium. Its description in RNAcentral is "partial 16S ribosomal RNA". It matches the Rfam family "Bacterial small subunit ribosomal RNA", at positions 524 to 776 of the family's 1533-position model. The record is from RNAcentral.